RNAcentral lists this transfer RNA (75 nucleotides) under Lacunisphaera sp. Its description in RNAcentral is "tRNA-OTHER". Lineage: Bacteria; Pseudomonadati; Verrucomicrobiota; Opitutia; Opitutales; Opitutaceae. RNAcentral also lists the same sequence under 2 other names. The record is from RNAcentral.
AGGCCUUAGAUGUCCAAGCGGACGGGUUGGUCUCCAAAUCCGACCGGGAGGGUGCGAGUCCCUCAGGGCCUGCCA